GACGAACGCUGGCGGCGCGCCUAACACAUGCAAGUCGAACGAGCGAGAGAGAGCUUGCUUUCUCGAGCGAGUGGCGAACGGGUGAGUAACGCGUGAGGAACCUGCCUCAAAGAGGGGGACAACAGUUGGAAACGACUGCUAAUACCGCAUAAGCCCACGGUGCCGCAUGGCACAGAGGGAAAAGGAGCAAUCCGCUUUGAGAUGGCCUCGCGUCCGAUUAGCUGGUUGGUGAGGUAAUGGCCCACCAAGGCGACGAUCGGUAGCCGGACUGAGAGGUUGAACGGCCACAUUGGGACUGAGACACGGCCCAGACUCCUACGGGAGGCAGCAGUGGGGAAUAUUGCACAAUGGGGGAAACCCUGAUGCAGCGACGCCGCGUGGAGGAAGAAGGUCUUCGGAUUGUAAACUCCUGUUGUUGAGGAAGAUAAUGACGGUACUCAACAAGGAAGUGACGGCUAACUACGUGCCAGCAGCCGCGGUAAAACGUAGGUCACAAGCGUUGUCCGGAAUUACUGGGUGUAAAGGGAGCGCAGGCGGGAAGACAAGUUGGAAGUGAAAUCCAUGGGCUCAACCCAUGAACUGCUUUCAAAACUGUUUUUCUUGAGUAGUGCAGAGGUAGGCGGAAUUCCCGGUGUAGCGGUGGAAUGCGUAGAUAUCGGGAGGAACACCAGUGGCGAAGGCGGCCUACUGGGCACCAACUGACGCUGAGGCUCGAAAGUGUGGGUAGCAAACAGGAUUAGAUACCCUGGUAGUCCACACUGUAAACGAUGAUUACUAGGUGUUGGAGGGAUUGACCCCUUCAGUGCCGCAGUUAACACAAUAAGUAAUCCACCUGGGGAGUACGACCGCAAGGUUGAAACUCAAAGGAAUUGACGGGGGCCCGCACAAGCAGUGGAGUAUGUGGUUUAAUUUGACGCAACGCGAAGAACCUUACCAAGUCUUGACAUCCUGCGACGGUGCUGGAAACAGUACUUUCCUUCGGGACGCAGAGACAGGUGGUGCAUGGUUGUCGUCAGCUCGUGUCGUGAGAUGUUGGGUUAAGUCCCGCAACGAGCGCAACCCUUAUGGUCAGUUACUACGCAAGAGGACUCUGGCCAGACUGCCGUUGACAAAACGGAGGAAGGUGGGGAGGACGUCAAAUCAUCAUGCCCUUUAUGACUUGGGCUACACACGUACUACAAUGGCGUUAAACAAAGAGAAGCAAGACCGCGAGGGGGAGCAAAACUCAGAAACAACGUCCCAGUUCGGAGUGCAGGCUGCAACUCGCCUGCACGAAGUCGGAAUUGCUU
This 1289-nucleotide ribosomal RNA is filed under the name uncultured bacterium. Its description in RNAcentral is "bacterial SSU rRNA". It matches the Rfam family "Bacterial small subunit ribosomal RNA", at positions 28 to 1337 of the family's 1533-position model. The record is from RNAcentral.